CCCACUACUGCUCGUCUCAAACCUUCCAAAUUGCUCCCCAAAUCGAACCCUAAGCAAAUCAAAUCUCACCCCGAGGCCCCCUUCCCCUUCCUCGGCGGCGCCGCCGCCCAGCCACCUGACAUGAGCGCCCUAGCAACCUCCUCAUCCACCGGCGAGCACCCUUCGCCGCUUCCUCCUCGACCUCUGCCACAUCGAGCGUCGGCUUCCUUCCCCGACCCAUGUCGCCGCUCCCAGACAACCUCCGCCGCGCCCCCAACGCUGCCUCCCGACACUUUCUCUCCGGGCAGCACCGCGGCCAGCUCCCCCGCCAUCGUCUACUUGCUCGCUUCCUCAAGCAGCGCCGACUCAUCCAGGAGCUCCUCCCGUCAGCAGCACCGCCUCCUCUAGGAGCCUCCUCUACGAACCAGUCCUCCAAAUUGCAUGCAUCUUCUUUGUCCUCUCCACCAAGCAGUGUCGACUACGCCAUCUUCCCCCAGAAAAAGCUUUAUGAACUGAGUUCACUACAACUUGAAGUCUUGUGCAUGGAAGGGAAUUGAGAUAUUUUCCCAUUCUGUACUAGUUAAAAUGUUCAUCUUUACCUGAAAUCUAAUUUGCAUGUUGGUUGGUGUUCUUCAAGAAUCAGGGUACUAAUUUGUGAUAUGAUUGGUGAAAGAGGUUGUGGAUGUCACUUCCUUUUUCUUGAACGGUGUCCCUAUUUUGUCCUAUGUACAGACAAAUUUGAUGAUUCUUCACUUUCUGGAAAGUAAACUUAAUACCAGAGGUUGAAAAUGUUCCUGCAAGACUGGUUAAGACACCUUGCUGUAACCAUAUGUGUUGAGCUCACACAGAAGACCUGACAAGCUUUACUCUUUGUGUUUGUUACAUUUUGUACUGCUCGGAUGUCUAGGAACUGAAAAUGCUAAAUUAUGAGGAAGUCUUCAGGUGUACUCAAUUAAUUGUAUACAUUGUAAAAUGUUUGAUGAUGAGAUUUUACAAUAUAUCUGUGAAGUGCA
This is an RNA transcript of Triticum urartu, 992 nucleotides long. RefSeq lists it as uncharacterized. The record is from RefSeq and is a predicted model, not a curated record. NCBI's taxonomy places the organism in Eukaryota, Viridiplantae, Streptophyta, Magnoliopsida, Poales, Poaceae.